Molecule: ribosomal RNA, 273 nt
Filed under: uncultured bacterium
Lineage: Bacteria
Description: partial 16S ribosomal RNA
Rfam family: Bacterial small subunit ribosomal RNA
Source: RNAcentral
UACGAAGGGGGCUAGCGUUGCUCGGAAUUACUGGGCGUAAAGCGUGCGCAGGCGGUUGUGCAAGACAGAUGUGAAAUCCCCGGGCUUAACCUGGGAAUUGCAUUUGUGACUGCACGGCUAGAGUGUGUCAGAGGGGGGUAGAAUUCCACGUGUAGCAGUGAAAUGCGUAGAUAUGUGGAGGAAUACCGAUGGCGAAGGCAGCCCCCUGGGAUAACACUGACGCCUCAUGCACGAAAGCGUGGGGAGCAAACAGGAUUGAGAAACCCCGGUAGG